RNAcentral lists this long non-coding RNA (1134 nucleotides) under Nicotiana tabacum (common tobacco). Its description in RNAcentral is "long non-coding RNA (NTAB_LNC011830)". Lineage: Eukaryota; Viridiplantae; Streptophyta; Magnoliopsida; Solanales; Solanaceae. The record is from RNAcentral.
GAUAACUGUGUGCUUCCAACAAGUUAACAAAUCAAAAAACAACUCACAAUACUAUAAUUCAUCACUAAAAUAAUAAACUUUGACUAGAAUUACUUGCAUCUUGUUAUCUGUUACCAUCUCAAAGAAAAGAAAAGGAAUUACUUGCAUCUUGUUAAUCGCUACGACAUGACUAUUAAAUAAACACGUCCCAGGGUUUAUUCGCCUCGCUCUGAUAAAAUGGAUGCCUGCCCGAGACUUGCAUUUUAGCACGUAAAUAUCAGCAUGGGAAACGAAGUAAAGUGCAAGCUAACUAGAAUGAUGGCUUGCUUCUUUUUCUUUGUUAUGGAUUUGGGGUGUUGAUUGCUAUGUAUAACACCAAUCUUCGCCGAUUGAUCAGGUUUUCAUCAUUGGACCCCUGAAGCAGGUAAGGAAAGCAGAAGCAAUGUUGAGGGGCAGGAUGUUGUGAGAUACUUUUGACCCUUCUGCUGCACCUGGAAUCCAAAGUUUUGCAUUCUUAUUACUCGAUUGUCACGCUAAACAAACUUGAGUGAGACAUAUCUCACUUCUUUUGCUAAUAGAUGAACCCUGAGCUGACAUACCAAUUCAUCUCACAUUGGACGGGGUGCUAAAUGAAUGCAUAUGUUUGAAGUUAAAUUCGUAUUGCUUUAUUAAGCGCGAAUGAAACUGAGUUUGAUUCCGUACUUUCACUUUGCAACUUGCACUAAAUAGAAUCUCUUGCAUGCACGUAUUAUAAAGAAAAAGACCAUUGCUGGUCUUAUUCUUUGAUAGCAGAGUAAAGAGUUUUAGACUUGGUUUAUGCAUGCAACAACAAUAACAACAGACCUAGUGUAAUUCCACAAGUGAAGUCUAGGAAGGUUAGUGUGUAUGUAAAUCUUACCCUACCUUGUGAAGAUAUAGGCUGUUUCCAAAGACCCUCGAUACUUGGUUUAUGCAUGCAGUUGAAUGUAUUUUAGUGCACUAAUGCCUCUCUUUCUGGAGUCGUAAGAAUAUUUUGACGAUGAUGGUUAGAAUUUUAGCAUUGACAAGGUAUGCAUUGUUUUAUUAGUCAAAUGUGAACUUGGUUGGUGGAGAGGUCAUUGUCAUGCCCUAGGAGUGGCCAGCUUGGGAAUUUUACGAAUACUACUGGAACAGAAA